GCAGUUUUUCACAUAUUGCUACGCUGCAUUUAAAUCUAAUGAGUGAUUUUGCUUUUUAGAUUUGCCGGUGUACAGCGAGCUGAUCUCCCUUGCAGAAAAAGAUUUAUAUGAUGGUGAACUAGCACCAGAAAUCCAAAACACAAAGGAUCAUGCAAUAACUUCCCCAUCUACUAGUAGGACACCAUCUCAGCCUAGUGUGCCUUAAUUUAAAUGACGUUCGUGCGUUCAAUAAAGAUAUAUGUUAAACCCAGUACGUGUCUUCUCUGUAGAUACAAGCAACGUCUCUUCACAAGGAAUUCCUACAACUGG
Molecule: long non-coding RNA, 309 nt
Organism: Xenia sp. Carnegie-2017
Lineage: Eukaryota; Metazoa; Cnidaria; Anthozoa; Malacalcyonacea; Xeniidae
Exons: 3
Source: RefSeq, a predicted model, not a curated record